UUGGAAGCAAAUCAGCAGCCAGUAGGCUUGGUCUUUAUUGAAGAAAAGACUGUUGCAACAGGGUGUUCCCCUCACUUGCAGGAGAGAGGAAAGACCCAGAAAGAUGGUGUGCAAGACCUUAUAAAAACUUUUGAAAUUCCCCUCCUCUAGGUCAAGCCCACCCCCAGAAACAUCAUGCAUACAUUACAGAAAGGAGGGGUUGACAUCAUGCAUACAUUACAGAAAGGAGGGGUUGACAUCAUGCAUACAUUACAGAAAGGAGGGGUUGAGGGAGGAGUUGUGGUGGUAACCUGAGUGUCCUGUCACCUGGCUGGUUCCUCCUUUCCCCGGCCCAUGAGUCACUUCCAGGAGACAAAGGGGAGUUGGCAGUUUCCUGCCCCCAGAGGGAAGAUCUGAUCAUUGUCCUUUGUUUCAGUCCAUGCUGAAUCCACUCCCAUAUGCAAGUUCUUUGUGAUCUUGAUGGUCUUCUGUCUAGGACCAUCAGGGUUGGCAUAGCAACUGGGCAGGGCUCCUGUGGAUGUGCUGGGAUGGUGAAGGGAUUAUGGCUGACCAGAACCAAGCCACCCCCCUUUGAUAGUCCUUGUCAUAUGGAGUAAAAUUAAAAUGGAACAGUGCAAAUCCAAUGUAUGGUUGAUUUUUCUAUGAAUUUAUAACAGAAGUGUGGCAUAUGUAGUGUGUGAGUGUGAGUGUGUGAAGUUUGUACAAACUGAAUGAUUGGGGUGGGGGGUUCCUGCUACAGUUCCCCCCUUCGGAGAUAAGAUUGCAAAGGUGGCUACUUUGCAAUCCUUUUCUCCGCACAAUUUAAGGUGGUAAAUAUUAACCUGCUAUUCUCCGUCCCAGAUGCGUGUGUCCAUGUGAACCUGAAAGGGACUUGGAUGUCACGCUUCUUAAGGAUAUUUGCAUAGAAAUAUAACAGUGUAACAGUGCACAUAGUUAGACAUAGGCUAUCACGUAAAAUUAAUAUUUUG
This is a non-coding RNA of Podarcis lilfordi (Lilford's wall lizard), 968 nucleotides long. NCBI's taxonomy places the organism in Eukaryota, Metazoa, Chordata, Lepidosauria, Squamata, Lacertidae. The record is from the annotation of a GenBank genome assembly.